UCAGUAACACGUAGUCAACCUGCCCUGAAGACAUGGACAACCCCGGGAAACUGGGACUAAUCCGUGAUAGGUCAUCUCAUCUGGAAGGAGAGAUGGCUUAAAGGGUCGCGCGGGCUUCUUCUGCGCGUUCGCUUCAGGAUGGGACUGCGUCCGAUCAGGCUGUUGGCGGGGUAAUGGCCCACCAAACCUGUAACCGGUACGGGCCUUGAGAGAGGUGGCCCGGAGAUGGACACUGAGAGAAGGGUCCAGGUCCUACGGGGCGCAGCAGGCGCGAAACCUUCGCAAUGCGCGAAAGCGUGACGAGGUUAAUCCGACUGGCCUCCGCUGAGGAGGUCUUUUGUCAGCUGUAAAUAGGCGGGCGAAUAAGGGGAGGGCAAGCCUGGU
This 384-nucleotide ribosomal RNA is filed under the name unidentified archaeon. Its description in RNAcentral is "bacterial SSU rRNA". It matches the Rfam family "Archaeal small subunit ribosomal RNA", at positions 90 to 456 of the family's 1478-position model. The record is from RNAcentral.